GAUGAAGAACGUAGCGAAACGCGAAAGGUAAUGCGAAUUGCAGAAUUCAGUGAAUCAUCGAAUCUUUGAACGCACAUUGCGCCCCUUGGUAUUCCAUGGGGCAUGCCUGUUCGAGCGUCAUUUGUACCUUCAAGCUCUGCUUGGUGUUGGGUGUUUGUCUCGCCUCUGCGUGUAGACUCGCCUCAAAACAAUUGGCAGCCGGCGUAUUGAUUUCGGAGCGCAGUACAUCUCGCGCUUUGCACUCAUAACGACGACGUCCAAAAGUACAUUUUUACACUCUUGACCUCGGAUCAGGUAGGGAUACCCGCUGAACUUAAGCAUAUCAAUAAGCGGAGGA
RNAcentral lists this unclassified non-coding RNA (337 nucleotides) under soil metagenome. RNAcentral describes it as "partial contains 5.8S ribosomal RNA, internal transcribed spacer 2, and large subunit ribosomal RNA". The stretch from base 1 to 120 matches the Rfam family "5.8S ribosomal RNA", at positions 35 to 154 of the family's 154-position model. The record is from RNAcentral.